CAGCCGCCGCGGUAAUACGAAGGGUGCAAGCGUUACUCGGAAUUACUGGGCGUAAAGCGUGCGUAGGUGGUGGUUUAAGUCCGUUGUGAAAGCCCCGGGCUCAACCUGGGAAUUGCAGUGGAUACUGGGUCACUAGAGUGUGGUAGAGGAUAGUGGAAUUUCCGGUGUAGCAGUGAAAUGCGUAGAGAUCGGAAGGAACAUCUGUGGCGAAGGCGACUAUCUGGGCCAACACUGACACUGAGGCACGAAAGCGUGGGGAGCAAACAGGAUUAGAUACCCGAGUAGUCCCUGUCUCUUAUAC
Molecule: ribosomal RNA, 301 nt
Filed under: uncultured bacterium
Lineage: Bacteria
Description: partial 16S ribosomal RNA
Rfam family: Bacterial small subunit ribosomal RNA
Source: RNAcentral